Molecule: ribosomal RNA, 487 nt
Filed under: Proteus mirabilis
Lineage: Bacteria; Pseudomonadati; Pseudomonadota; Gammaproteobacteria; Enterobacterales; Morganellaceae
Description: bacterial SSU rRNA
Rfam family: Bacterial small subunit ribosomal RNA
Source: RNAcentral
CAUGGCUCAGAUUGAACGCUGGCGGCAGGCCUAACACAUGCAAGUCGAGCGGUAACAGGAGAAAGCUUGCUUUCUUGCUGACGAGCGGCGGACGGGUGAGUAAUGUAUGGGGAUCUGCCCGAUAGAGGGGGAUAACUACUGGAAACGGUGGCUAAUACCGCAUAAUGUCUACGGACCAAAGCAGGGGCUCUUCGGACCUUGCACUAUCGGAUGAACCCAUAUGGGAUUAGCUAGUAGGUGGGGUAAAGGCUCACCUAGGCGACGAUCUCUAGCUGGUCUGAGAGGAUGAUCAGCCACACUGGGACUGAGACACGGCCCAGACUCCUACGGGAGGCAGCAGUGGGGAAUAUUGCACAAUGGGCGCAAGCCUGAUGCAGCCAUGCCGCGUGUAUGAAGAAGGCCUUAGGGUUGUAAAGUACUUUCAGCGGGGAGGAAGGUGAUAAGGUUAAUACCCUUAUCAAUUGACGUUACCCGCAGAAGAAGCACC